GGAUAAGUGGAGUGUUCGUGUGAAGGAGUUCAUGUGUUCAAAUCUUGGCGUGGACAUUAUUUUUGCUCGUGUGUCCAAGAGAGUUUGAAAUGGACUAAAAAUCUGAGUAGUGGAUUUAGUAGGGAGUUUGAUGGAGAGAAAUAAGGGAUUGGGGUGGUUAUCAAAUAUUUUGUUCAUCUUUUUUUUCUUUUUUUUUACUUUCCCCCAAAUCCCUCCACCCUCUUAUCGUUUUUCUCUUUAAUGCUACUGAAUUUCUGCUCUCUUUCACCCUUCAUCUUAUUGAUUUUUCUUUUUCCACUCUGCCUCGUGUCGCUCCAAG
Molecule: long non-coding RNA, 319 nt
Filed under: Gossypium raimondii (Peruvian cotton)
Lineage: Eukaryota; Viridiplantae; Streptophyta; Magnoliopsida; Malvales; Malvaceae
Description: long non-coding RNA (GRAI_LNC008300)
Source: RNAcentral